GAUGAACGCUGGCGGCGUGCUUAACACAUGCAAGUCGAACGGAAAGGCCCAAGCUUGCUUGGGUGCUCGAGUGGCGAACGGGUGAGUAACACGUGGGUGAUCUGCCCUGCACUUUGGGAUAAGCCUGGGAAACUGGGUCUAAUACCGGAUAGGACCAUCGUUUAGUGUCGGUGGUGGAAAGUUUUUCGGUGUGGGAUGAGCUCGCGGCCUAUCAGCUUGUUGGUGGGGUAAUGGCCUACCAAGGCGUCGACGGGUAGCCGGCCUGAGAGGGUGUACGGCCACAUUGGGACUGAGAGACGGCCCAGACGCCUACGGGAGGCAGCAGUGGGGAAUAUUGCACAAUGGGCGCAAGCCUGAUGCAGCGACGCCGCGUGGGGGAUGACGGCCUUCGGGUUGGAAACUCCUUUCGCCAAGGACGAAGCGUUUUGUGACGGUACUUGGAGAAGAAGCACCGGCUAACUACGUG
This 466-nucleotide ribosomal RNA is filed under the name uncultured bacterium. Its description in RNAcentral is "partial 16S ribosomal RNA". It matches the Rfam family "Bacterial small subunit ribosomal RNA", at positions 28 to 507 of the family's 1533-position model. The record is from RNAcentral.